GAAAACUGCCGAGGAAGACGUAGACGGAGACGCAGAACAAGAUGGGGUUUUGGUUGAGGUUCAAUCUGCUUGUGUUUACAAUUGCGAUUCUAUCAACGCCUGUACUUUCAGAUCUGAUACUCUCCAAGGUCGAUCGACGUAUUGAUUUGACUUCACAAAUUGUACGCAUCACUUCAACACUAAAGGUGGAGAAUGCUGGUUCUGGUUUGGUUUCAGAGGUUUUGCUGGCCUUCCCAGAGCUUCAGGCUAAAAAUUUGGUAUAUUUGAUGGCAACAACUAAUGAAGGAAAAGGCAAAACGAAAAGUGCUGGAGUUAGUCUCCCUGUUGAAAUUGCCAAUCCAAAAGGAAUGCCUCCUGCAUUGACUGUUUAUUCUGUAUCAUUAUCCAAGGCACUAGGUGAAGGGGACACAAUGAGUUUGGAUGUUUUGGCCGUG
Molecule: unclassified non-coding RNA, 434 nt
Filed under: Hevea brasiliensis (rubber tree)
Lineage: Eukaryota; Viridiplantae; Streptophyta; Magnoliopsida; Malpighiales; Euphorbiaceae
Source: RNAcentral